Ctenopharyngodon idella (grass carp) is the source of this 782-nucleotide long non-coding RNA. RefSeq lists it as uncharacterized. The record is from RefSeq and is a predicted model, not a curated record. The transcript is spliced from 5 exons. NCBI's taxonomy places the organism in Eukaryota, Metazoa, Chordata, Actinopteri, Cypriniformes, Xenocyprididae.
GCUCAAUUCAAAAUGGAAACGUUUGCUGAGUGUCCAUGAAGCAAACAGUCUGCAUCCAGGUUGUGUAGCAUUGGGACAAAUGAGAAAGAUAAUGGAUGGCUUAUUCCAGACUCAAAGAACAACUAGAUCUUUGUAGACAGAUCUUUAUUUACUACUCCAUGGCAACAUGGACACAAAGUUUGGUCCUACUCACCCGGGUCAUAGCAAUGAUCUGGUCGCUCUGGGGUAUCGAGACGAGCGUCAUGGUGGCAGCUCGGAUCAUAAGCAAGCUUCCAAUCUCUUCAUGCAUCAGCUCUGAACAAAGGAUAUUUAUGUGUUUUCGGCAUGCAGCACAUCUGUCACCGCUGGUAUCGGAGUCACAGAUCUGCGAUGGAGAUCUGAAGAGAACAAUUACAGCUGAUGACUAACAGGCAGACAGCUGCAGAGUCGGUACGAUCAGGAAGGAGAGUAAUCUAAAAAUAAAUAGCAACCUGUCACUCGCAUGAGAUCAUCCAGUCAAUUCCCAAUGGACAAAAUCGUUUUCAUUUUUUUUUUUCUUGUUCAAGAAGCCUUGAACUUUGUUCUAUAACAGAUUCCUCAAAUCACGUGUCUUUCUGAGUGGUGUGUAUUUUCUAAGCACAAGGUUUUUCCGCUGAGGUAAAUAAUUCCAUGCAUAAAGCUGAAAACAAAUAGCAUUUGUUGCCAAGGUUCUUUUGAGCAGCGGUCAUAUGAUAAAUGACAUCCCUGUCAUUGUGUGAUGUUCUGCAAGGACUCGUUUUCAUAGAAUUAAAUGGGGUUUGGAA